RNAcentral lists this transfer RNA (69 nucleotides) under Monodelphis domestica (gray short-tailed opossum). It matches the Rfam family "tRNA". From Rfam's summary of the family: Transfer RNA (tRNA) molecules are approximately 80 nucleotides in length. Their secondary structure includes four short double-helical elements and three loops (D, anti-codon, and T loops). Lineage: Eukaryota; Metazoa; Chordata; Mammalia; Didelphimorphia; Didelphidae. The record is from Rfam by way of RNAcentral.
AAUAAUUUAGCUUAAUUAAAGCAUUCAAUUUGCAUUCAAAUGAUGCAAGAUAGAGGCUUGUAAUUCUUA